Long non-coding RNA from Lotus japonicus, 2017 nucleotides. RefSeq lists it as uncharacterized. The transcript is spliced from 2 exons. Lineage: Eukaryota; Viridiplantae; Streptophyta; Magnoliopsida; Fabales; Fabaceae. The record is from RefSeq and is a predicted model, not a curated record.
UUGAUUAAAUUUAAUUCAACCUAAUCCACCACCACUGCAACCCCAAUCAACUCAUCCCAAAAGCCAUCCUGUGGAAUCCUGCGGCUUUUGCAGUUAUGGGUUAGUGCCGCACAGCCACCAGCGGCGCUUCCACUGCAACUGGAACUCCGGCCACCACAAAACCACAACGAAACCAACCAGCCACCACUCCUCUCACCGAACACAACCACCGUUUUUCUCACCCACGAAUAAACAAACGGCAACAACACCCCCAAAACUUCUCACUAAAUCUUCUCCACAAAUUCAAUAUUCUGCAAAGCUUGCAAAUAUUUGAAACAAAAUUCUCACUUCUCCAACAAAAUUCGCACACCAGAUCUGGAAAAUACCAACUGAGUUUUGGCCCAUCCUCUUCUGACCCGUUCCAGCAUACAUUCUCCCUCAAUUUUGUCAAAUCUCAGCAACAAAACUCAACCUAAAGAGAAUCCCCAAUCACGACCUUCACAAUGGUUAUGAAGCGGCCUGAUUAUCGUCCAAGGUGCAUCCAUGGCCGCGUUUUUCCUGGGUUUACUGGGUUUGAGGGAAAGAGGAGUGGGAGGUAGAAGGAGUAUUGGGUUUGCUGGGUUGAAAAGCUUCAAGUUUCAAUCUCUCUUAUUUGACUUGGGUUGAAAAGCUUGAAGCUUUUGUUCCUGGGUUUGAAGGAAAGGAGAAGUCAGCAGGUAGAAGGAGUGAUGGGUUGAAAAGCUUGAAACUUUUGUACCUGGGUUUGCUGGGUUUGAGGGAAAAGAAAAGUGAGAAGGUAGAAGGAGUGAUGGGUGGUGCGGUGGUGGCUUCAGAUUGAACGGAGGAUGGUGCGGUGGUGGGUGGGUGGGUUGGGUAAAGGGAAAACAGUGGGUGACGGCCGGCGGGUUGAACAGAGGGAGAGCAGUGGGGAGGGAGGAGGAGGAUGGUGGGUAAAGGGUAAAUUUUGCAGUGGUGAUGGAUUAGGUUGAAGAUGAAGGUUUGUUCAGGAGGUCCUUUGCUCUGUUGCUCCUACUGAUUCCAUAGGUCCUGAUAAAGUUGUUUGGUUGGGCACACCUCAGGCAUAUUUUCUACGAAAUCAGCUUAUAAGCUAGUGGUUGGAAGCACGAGUUGAGCACGUUGAGAUGGCUGCUAGGGGUAGGUUUUUCUUUGAAAAUAGUUGAAAAAUGGAAUUAUAACCAAUUACACUAGAGUUCAUAAAGAUCAUAUGGCAAGGAAGAUACACUCCAUUUGUUUCGAGAAUGAAUUUGGUAUUCAUCGAUAGGGAGUGGCAUUGGCCAGGACUUCCUCACAGGAGACCUAUGUAACUGGCUCUCCAACUAUACUAGAGGAACAAUGAGCAACAUAGGGGGAUGGACUGGCCUGGCUUUUCUGUGUCUGCUUUAUGGGAAAUUUGGUGUGUUAGGAACGAUCUGGUCUUCAAUCAGAUUCAGCCCAAUCCAACCAGAACUUGGGGCCUAAUUUGGUCCAUAGGGAUGGAUCAUCAUAUGGGCUCCAUAGGGGAUUAGCCCCUCUUAUAUUCUAAGCGAAGCAACCAGUGUUUUUGUGUGUAGAAAACCGCGCAUCCAACAACAAUAGUGGCAGCCUCCUAAUGAUGGUCGGGCGAAGUUCAACGUUGACAGCGCGGUAGCAGAUGAUCUUGCGGCUAGUCGAGGUGGUGCUUGCAGGAUGCUGGCAUGCUGCCGAUGCUUGGAUCAAGGGGUUUUGCAGAAAUCUAGGCUCGUUUAGUUCUCUGAAGUCUGAAUGCUAUUCUUACAAAGUUAAUUGUGAUUUCAAUGGUGGUGGAUAUAGUGUUUAGUUUGGAUAUCCCUUGAGUGAUUAUGGAGUCUGAUUCACUUGAGAUUAUUCAACUUAUCAUGUCCACUAAUUUGUAUUCUCACCCAUAUGAGGAUUUAGUUAUUUACAUCCGUCAUAGAGAAGCUAAUGUUCUCGCAAACUACUUAGCCCAUGUAGCGUUCAAUUUUAUUUUUGGUAAUCAUUUGUUAGAUUUUCCAUUUUAAGAGUGUGAUAUGUUAAUCUC